Molecule: ribosomal RNA, 253 nt
Filed under: uncultured bacterium
Lineage: Bacteria
Description: partial 16S ribosomal RNA
Rfam family: Bacterial small subunit ribosomal RNA
Source: RNAcentral
UACGAAGGGGGCUAGCGUUGCUCGGAAUUACUGGGCGUAAAGGGCGCGUAGGCGGACAGUUUGGUCAGAGGUGAAAGCCCAGGGCUCAACCUUGGAAUUGCCUUUGAUACUGGCUGUCUUGAGUUCGGGAGAGGUGAGUGGAAUGCCGAGUGUAGAGGUGAAAUUCGUAGAUAUUCGGCGGAACACCAGUGGCGAAGGCGACUCACUGGCCCGAUACUGACGCUGAGGCGCGAAAGCGUGGGGAGCAAACAGG